Molecule: microRNA precursor, 88 nt
Filed under: Canis lupus dingo (dingo)
Lineage: Eukaryota; Metazoa; Chordata; Mammalia; Carnivora; Canidae
Description: mir-8799 microRNA precursor family
Rfam family: mir-8799 microRNA precursor family
Source: Rfam by way of RNAcentral
GUGGGGAGGCCGGAUCCUGGGCUGUGUCCCGGCGUCCUGUGUUCCGGGGCCUGCGCUGUUGGAUUUGUGCUCCCGCCCGCAGCCCCCU